AUUUAUCUGAAUGUUGAUGUUGCUUUGUAGUUUCGUUCAGAUAAGCAUGGUACUCCAGUCUUGUUAACAUGGACGCAGCACACAUUUGCGAUAAACUAUCAACUACAAUAGAUUUGACAACCAUGCAUAUGACUUUUUUUUUUUAAGGCUCAUAAUAGUUCAGUCCAGGAUUAAUGUUUUCAUUUGGGGUGGCGGGUAGCCAAGUGGUUAGAAAAUUGGGCCAGUAACCACAAUGUUGCUGGAUCGAAUCCCCGAGGUGACAACUUAAAUCUGUUCCCCAGAACAAGGCAGUUAACUACCGGGGACCGUGUGUCAUUGCUGAAGCGUAAAAGGCGAAAGAUGAGGCAGAGGUCCAAGUAGACUGGCCCAUUCCCCUACUGCUGUGAUUGUUUUUCCCCACCCACUCCAAGCCCCCUGUUUGAAGCCAGCGGUCCAUGAUUUGCAAAGAGCUGAACCAUGGUUGUCUGAAGCCGGUCUCAUUGGUGUGAAGGACGGAUCCCGCAUACCCAGCCCUCUACUCUGCCAAUGGCACCUGGCUGUUGACUACUGCUAGAAUCUCUCCUGUUGUUGGACUCUGGCCUUUUACCACCUGCACAGCUGAUUUGUUGUGAAGACCAUAAUAAAUAUUUGGUUUACUAACUACAUUACUGUCUCUGUAAACAUUGAUUGAUGUUCAUAUCAAAGUUUAUUGGUCAC
Molecule: long non-coding RNA, 696 nt
Filed under: Salmo salar (Atlantic salmon)
Lineage: Eukaryota; Metazoa; Chordata; Actinopteri; Salmoniformes; Salmonidae
Description: lncRNA (ENSSSAG00000096312.1)
Source: RNAcentral